CUUGACUGCGAGCGUGACGGCGCGAGCAGGUGCGAAAGCAGGUCAUAGUGAUCCGGUGGUUCUGAAUGGAAGGGCCAUCGCUCAACGGAUAAAAGGUACUCCGGGGAUAACAGGCUGAUACCGCCCAAGAGUUCAUAUCGACGGCGGUGUUUGGCACCUCGAUGUCGGCUCAUCACAUCCUGGGGCUGAAGUAGGUCCCAAGGGUAUGGCUGUUCGCCAUUUAAAGUGGUACGCGAGCUGGGUUUAGAACGUCGUGAGACAGUUCGGUCCCUAUCUGCCGUGGGCGCUGGAGAACUGAGGGGGGCUGCUCCUAGUACGAGAGGACCGGAGUGGACGCAUCACUGGUGUUCGGGUUGUCAUGCCAAUGGCACUGCCCGGUAGCUAAAUGCGGAAGAGAUAAGUGCUGAAAGCAUCUAAGCACGAAACUUGCCCCGAGAUGAGUUCUCCCUGAGACUUAAAGUCUCCUGAAGGAACGUUGAAGACGACGACGUUGAUAGGCCGGGUGUGUAAGCGCAGCGAUGCGUUGAGCUAACCGGUACUAAUGAACCGUGAGGCUUAACCUUACAACGCCGAAGAUGUUUUG
Molecule: ribosomal RNA, 583 nt
Filed under: Salmonella enterica subsp. enterica serovar Derby
Lineage: Bacteria; Pseudomonadati; Pseudomonadota; Gammaproteobacteria; Enterobacterales; Enterobacteriaceae
Rfam family: Bacterial large subunit ribosomal RNA
Source: RNAcentral